This is a non-coding RNA of Odocoileus virginianus texanus, 537 nucleotides long. The record is from RefSeq and is a predicted model, not a curated record. NCBI's taxonomy places the organism in Eukaryota, Metazoa, Chordata, Mammalia, Artiodactyla, Cervidae.
UUUGAGGAAGCACUUUAGAGAACCCCCAUCUUCUGCCUGGGUCCUGCUGCCUUGUUCUGUAGCAAGUUCCUUCCAACCUGAGGAUGUCAGCCUUGGGUGGAUCAUCACUUUGCAGGGUUGUUAACAGAAACCUUCUUUGUUCAUCGAGGGGACAGGUCAAGUGAGCUGGCUGAGCCACAGUAUCCUGUAACUCCUAAUGCUCAGAGAGGUUCGGGAACCACUGGAUUGGACAACUGCCCUGGCUUGUGACAUCAAGAUUAGGUGAUUUCACUGCAUUUGGUUCUGCACCUUUUUGUGAGAAUUUUAUGUACUGAGACCUCAAAAUCAAGUUACAACCUGCAGACUUGGCCACUUCAACCUCGUCUUAUCUGUUUUCAUUCAUAAAUUUGCGGGAAAAGAAAGAAAGGGCAGGAAAGCAAGACCUAAAUAAAGUCACAGUGGCAGAAUCCUGUGUCCCGAGAGCAUGCUUGACUUCCAUCUUCAAAUGCAAGGGAAAACAAACAAGCUUUAGCUGCUUCACAGAGCCUCAAAUAGCUC